GGCUUGGCAAGGCUGCACUCCAUUGAUCGCCAGGGUUGAUUCUGCUGAUCGGGCUAGGUGGGUGCUCCCUUCCUCCCUCACCGCUCCAUGUGCAUCCCUUCUGAAGCUGAGCCCUCUGUCGAAGAGGACGUCCUUCCGCGAGUAGAGAACUGGUCUUGGGUCAAGGCUAUACGUGUAGCUGCGCUCCAAUGCUAGAACCUGCAAACAAGCUCAAGGUCCAUUUGUACACUCGUACAAGUAAAGGCAGGGACUUCUUGAGAUUGGUGAGUGAAAAAAUACCGCAGUCA
This 287-nucleotide small nuclear RNA is filed under the name Meriones unguiculatus (Mongolian gerbil). RNAcentral describes it as "7SK RNA (ENSMUGG00000019237.1)". It matches the Rfam family "7SK RNA". From Rfam's summary of the family: 7SK was discovered as an abundant small nuclear RNA in the mid-70s but a possible function has only recently been suggested. Two independent studies have found that 7SK RNA binds the CDK9/cyclin T complex (known as elongation factor P-TEFb). P-TEFb activates transcription by phosphorylating the C-terminal domain of RNA polymerase II. The record is from RNAcentral. Lineage: Eukaryota; Metazoa; Chordata; Mammalia; Rodentia; Muridae.